GACGAACGCUGGCGGCGUGCUUAACACAUGCAAGUCGAACGGAAAGGCCCUGCUUUUGUAGGGUGCUCGAGUGGCGAACGGGUGAGUAACACGUGAGUAACCUGCCCUUGACUUUGGGAUAACUUCAGGAAACUGGGGCUAAUACCGGAUAGGAGCUCCUGCUGCAUGGUGGGGGUUGGAAAGUUUCGGCGGUUGGGGAUGGACUCGCGGCUUAUCAGCUUGUUGGUGGGGUAGUGGCUUACCAAGGCUUUGACGGGUAGCCGGCCUGAGAGGGUGACCGGCCACAUUGGGACUGAGAUACGGCCCAGACUCCUACGGGAGGCAGCAGUGGGGAAUAUUGCACAAUGGGCGGAAGCCUGAUGCAGCAACGCCGCGUACGGGAUGACGGCCUUCGGGUUGUAAACCGCUUUCGCCUGUGACGAAGCGUGAGUGACGGUAAUGGGUAAAGAAGCACCGGCUAACUACGUG
Molecule: ribosomal RNA, 468 nt
Filed under: uncultured bacterium
Lineage: Bacteria
Description: partial 16S ribosomal RNA
Rfam family: Bacterial small subunit ribosomal RNA
Source: RNAcentral